UACGAAGGGUGCAAACGUUGCUCGGAAUCAUUGGGCGUAAAGCGCACGUAGGCGGCCCUGUAAGUCGGACGUGAAAUCCCACGGCUCAACCGUGGAAGUGCAUCCGAAACUGCGGGGCUCGAGUAUGGAAGAGGGUCGCAGAAUUCCCGGUGUAGAGGUGAAAUUCGUAGAUAUCGGGAGGAAUACCAGUGGCGAAGGCGGCGACCUGGGCCAAUACUGACGCUGAGGUGCGAAAGCGUGGGGAGCAAACAGG
Molecule: ribosomal RNA, 253 nt
Filed under: uncultured bacterium
Lineage: Bacteria
Description: partial 16S ribosomal RNA
Rfam family: Bacterial small subunit ribosomal RNA
Source: RNAcentral